Long non-coding RNA from Petromyzon marinus (sea lamprey), 1635 nucleotides. RefSeq lists it as uncharacterized. NCBI's taxonomy places the organism in Eukaryota, Metazoa, Chordata, Hyperoartia, Petromyzontiformes, Petromyzontidae. The record is from RefSeq and is a predicted model, not a curated record.
GCACGAGUCCUUAUUGGUCGGCGCGCGAUGACGUGGCCCUCCUUUCCGAGCAGCCCAAGCCACAAGGCCAUAAUGAGGACACCUUGGACAGAAAACAACCAUUGGAUGGGGGCACGUGGUGACGGCGAAGGGAACCGACAUUCACACUUGGCUGCGGCAUCUGUGCUUUGAAGUGGACGACACGUGGCACGACGUGUAAGAUGGAAAAUGUGUAAGAUAACUGGAGUAUGAGGGUGGUUCUGAGCCAGUGCAGUGGCUGUGAUGGUGCUCUGCUAACAAUUCCUGAGGGGUGGCCUGGGUUGAGUCCUGGGCGUCCACGCAAGAUGAAACCCAAGUGUUGCGACUUAGACGUCUCAGGGCUGCACAAAUAUAAACUUCAAAACCGAGGAGCAAAAGCUGUGGUGAAAUGUAUUGCGGCAUGUGGAGAAACACCUGUUGCCAAUGUUAGCGUGCUUGUGUUGAAAUUUGUAAUCGGCAGAAAAACCAAACAUGCGGCCCGUUUGGGUAGGCCUAGAAUUGACUUUAGAUGGAAAAAACAGGCUUGUGAAAAUCAUAAGGAUGGAAAACCAGAGUUGAUGAAAUUGCCUAAAGGCUUGGGCUAUGUCAUUGUCGAUUACUUGAUGGAGACUUAACGGCAAAACUUUGGACAUGCCUCGUUUCAUAUCAACAUAUUUGCAAAUUACAUUGGUCGUGUAAUUAUUGGCGAUUUUUGGAUCAUCCCCCUUGAAACACCCGAGGCGUCUAAGCAAUGUGCAUUCACCAAAAAAGCGUUUGUAUUCGGUUAAGUCUUCCAUGCUAACUUCUGGGAUAAACGAGGUUUUAGUUCCAACCAGUUACAAGGGUCAUGAUUAGUCUUGCCAUAACCUCUUGUUAAAACUGAGCUGGGCCGUGGACAAAGUGUGAUCGCUUUUUUCCAAUGUCGCCUUUGUCCUUCAAUGGCAAUUGCCUCAUGGGAGCAAUGAAAUAUUGCCACAUCCACGUGGCAGUUUCUGAACUGGCUGUUCCUAAAAUUCGUAUCCCAUCCAUGACGACGAGGUUGCUCUGGGAAAGCACAAUUUUGCAGUGGUUCAAAGCAAAAAGCCGACAUGACAAAUUUCAGUUUCCACAACUACAAAAGUGGUGGCUAUGCCAAUGAAAGGAAAAGUUUUAAAAGUGUCGGUGAAAUCUUGUAAUUCACCAGCUCCUGAAUGCGUUCUACCGGAACGGUGCUGACUUGCUAUUUAUGCAUUUCGCUCCUAAGGCAUAAAAUAAACCACGUUAAGGGACUGGUAAUAAUGUGUAAGCAAAACUGUAAACAAAUUUCAUUGGCGCUGCCUUGUAACAGAUUUAUAUCAGCCUCACUGGAUGGAAAUGCACUUGAGUUACAAAAGACGUUCCCUUUGAAAAAAGGCUGAUGGAUGAAUUAUCGACGUUAACUUUGUCUUAACAAUGUGUGAACUAAAUUGAGGAGUGCUGUGUAAAUUCUGUAAAAUGCAUAUUGAAAGUCCCUUAAUUUAUUUUGCAACUGUUGUGGAGUAUCCUGCAGUUGGUUUGCGCUUGCCGUAUUUAUGGUAAAUUAUACAUGUGAAUUAAAUUGUAUUUAACGUAUUUCUUGUGAAUUGUGUAAUAAAAAAAAAUCUGCAACUAACGUUAAAA